This 226-nucleotide long non-coding RNA is filed under the name Ananas comosus (pineapple). Its description in RNAcentral is "long non-coding RNA (ACOM_LNC015602)". Lineage: Eukaryota; Viridiplantae; Streptophyta; Magnoliopsida; Poales; Bromeliaceae. The record is from RNAcentral.
GAAAUAAGAGCUAUAAGAAGAAACAUGAUAUUGAAAUAUAUAACUUCAGCACCAACCGUCUCUAGAGCAAGUGGCAAAGGGCUUGGUGGUUGGUACCCGAGGCUCAAGUUCGAAUUCUAGUUGAUUCACAUUUCUUGCUAAGUUUAUUUCUAAAUGAAAUAAACGAAGCGGGUAGCAUGCUACCUAUCUCUCUCGAAAAGAAAUAUAUAACUUCAGUAGCCUUUUU